This 792-nucleotide long non-coding RNA is filed under the name Monodelphis domestica (gray short-tailed opossum). Its description in RNAcentral is "lncRNA (ENSMODG00000040060.1)". The record is from RNAcentral. Lineage: Eukaryota; Metazoa; Chordata; Mammalia; Didelphimorphia; Didelphidae.
CAGUGCUUAGCAACUUAAUCAUUGUUGUUUCAUUCCUUUCUUCCCUCCCACGUUCAUUCACUCAUCCUUACUUAUUCCUCAUCCUGGGAUCAACUCAUGAGAAGUCUGGAAUCUCCCUUCUGUUCCCUCUCAGAUGCCUCUUGGAGUAUCCAUGGUGAUGGUAAAGGAGAGCUCUCAGACAGAAGGGUCCAGAAUGAUCCUGAGUCUCCUCUUCUCAGGUCAUUGCCAACUCAAAGUCUUCAAAGAGUGCAGUAUCGAAUGAUUCACAAUCACACAUCAGAAAAAAAAAAUUGUACUGCUCUGGCAAGUUCUACCAUGAUGAGAAGGUUUAAAAUUCAGUUCCAGCAAUAAACAAUAUCUGCUUUCCAGGGAUUACUCUUGCUAAGUACCCAGAAGCUCAACAAAUUGGUGAUUCAUUCUUUGGCCAUGGCAGCCCAUGAAACUUUCCUUAUUCAGGAAAGUAUAAAUAUAUUUAUUCAAAGCAAUAUUUCAUUUAAUCUUUCAAUAUACUGAAUACACAGAAGUUCUAAUUUAUUAUUAUUUUUUAAUUACGAAGCAUAACUUACUUUUAAACGCCCAAUGCUAAUCAUUCUUCUCAAUGUUCGUUUGUAUAAGUCCUUUUUCAUGCUUUGAUCACAGGUACUUUCACAUGAAAGUAUUGACUGAGCUUAACUCCCUGGUUUAAUAUUCAAACAUGGGUAUGAAAUGCAAGUAAAGUUAUUUUUUAAUUAAUUGUUACUAUUAGCUUCUAUUAAAGGAACAGCCGGUUAAAUAAACUAAUAAAUUAUAGCA